This 21-nucleotide microRNA is filed under the name Anolis carolinensis (green anole). RNAcentral's name for it is "aca-miR-21-3p". Its record names the gene aca-miR-21-3p. The record is from miRBase by way of RNAcentral. Lineage: Eukaryota; Metazoa; Chordata; Lepidosauria; Squamata; Anolidae.
CAACAACAGUCGGUAGGCUGU